This 2742-nucleotide long non-coding RNA is filed under the name Piliocolobus tephrosceles (Ugandan red Colobus). RNAcentral's name for it is "lncRNA (ENSPTEG00000003262.1)". Lineage: Eukaryota; Metazoa; Chordata; Mammalia; Primates; Cercopithecidae. The record is from RNAcentral.
AUUAUAAAAUGUUUAAGUUAUGAUCAGAAUAAUAUAAAUAAUGAUAAUUUUCUGUUAUUUAUAAGAACAUUUUUAUUUUUCAUUUUAGAUUUAAAGACAGAUAUCAGUAUAAUUGAUAUAUGGUUAAAAAGAAAAAAAGAAAUAAAAAAGUUUUAUAUAGCUUUAUUUCAUAUACUAUCAAUAAAUUUAAACAAAAUUAACAGUAUACUGAAGAGUGUAAAAAAUGAAAAAAUAAAUAUUAGUGCUAUACAAAUUGGUUGUUCGCGUAUAAAAAUUGUAGAGAUACUGUUUGAUGUGUUAAUAAUGAUUUUUGAAAAAACAGAAGAAGCGAAAAAGUUUAUUACGCCAGAUAGUGAACAUGAUGGCAGUGGCCGUGACGGUAAUAGUAGUAGUAGUAGUAGUAGUAGUAGUAGUAGCGGCAUCAGUAGCAACAAUAAUAAUAGCAAUAAUGACAGUAACAAUUACAGCAAUAAUGACAGCAAUAAUGACAGCAAUAAUGAAAGCAGCUUGGUCAGUUUAUACGAACACAUGAACAACAUUCUUAUCCAAUUCGAAGUAAUACCAGAUAUCGAAAUAAAAAAAAAGAUGAUUCGCUUUUUUAAGUGUUUAAAUAAAUGCAUAACAGAAAAAAAAACUUGUUUUUUUUAUAACGAUAUGAUGAGUUUAAUAAAUAAAAAACGAAAUUUGUAUUUAACUUUAACAAAAGAAAAUAAUAUGAACAUAAGUUAUUUAAAACAAAAUUCAUAUAUAUAUAUUAGUAACAGUAUUCUUUUUUUAAAAACUUUUAAUACGUCAGUAAGUAAUGAAAAAGUGACAGAGUGUGAAAAAGAUAACAUUAAUAUAUCCAUUGAUGAUAAUGAUAGUGAUUGUCAUAAUGCUGAUUAUGAUGCCGAUCCGGAUGCUAACAUUUUAUUGUCACCAAAUGGUUAUAAAGGUAGUUUAUUAUUAAACUUUUUUUAUGCAUACUUUUAUAACUCCAAAAAUCAACUGUUAACCGUUUUGUCAUAUGAUCGAACAAAAAUAGAAGAUGGUGAUAAUUCCAAAACUGUGAAGUUUACGUUUAAAAAGGUGGAGGCAUUAGGCGUAUUGUCAAACAAGCUACGAACCCAAUUCGAACCGAGACUGCGUAAAAACGUCGAAAUAUCAAUGAUGUUUAGCUCCGAAUCAAUUAAGAACAAUGUUUGUGAAAUGAUAAAAAAUAUUAUGAGUAUUGAAAAUGAUAUAUCAUGUAAUGAUAAAGAAUAUAAAAAAAAUAUAGAAAGUAAUACAACUUAUCCAAAUAAAUUAAAAAAUGACAAUUUUAUAGAUGAACCUUUAAAUAAUUAUAUAAUAGGAGACGAUGAAAAUAAAAGUAAACAAAAACUUGAAAUAAGAAAAGUAAGUUUUGCUACAACUAAAGAAAUUUGUUUAUUAAAUAAAGACAAUUUGUCAGUACGUACUAAGACAUUAUUAUUAGAAGAGUCUCUUAACAAAAUGAAUGGUACAGAAUGUGUUGUUUUGGGUAAUGGAAAUAAUGACCUUGAAGUUGUACAUGUUAUUAAUGAUGAUAAUGAUAGUAACGUAAUCGAGACAGAUGAAUAUGAUUAUGGUGGAGAAAAUGAAAUAAUAAAUGAUGAAGUAUUAGCACUAACACAAAAAGAGUUAGCAGCAAAUUCGGAUUAUGAACUGAUAAUAAAAAAGAAGGAAGCAGCAGGAGAAAUAGGCGCACAUGGUGGUACAAAUGCAGAUGUAGGUGGAAGUGUAGAUACAUCUACAGCUACAGAUGUAGAAGAAAAAACAAAUAAUCAAAACAAUAAUACAACAUGUAUGGUACUCAAAGUCAGUUACGCAACAACUAAGGAUCUAUAUAAUGACAAUCGUACAAACAGUGAAGAAGAUAAUAUUAAUAGAGCAUUCAAAAGUAGUAGCCCUAUUGAAUAUAAUAAUGACAGUCAUAAAAAACAUGAUAGUUUAGUAGUAUAUAACAACAAAGAACAUAUAAAAAAAUUAAAAAGUUGUACAUUCCAUAUUGAUAAAACAUAUGACAUAAAAAAUAAUAGUGAUAAUACAUAUUUGGUUCACAAUACUGAUGCCGAUGUUGAUGUUGAUGUUGAUGUUGGUUCGGAAGAAAAAGUAAAACGAACAAUGCAUAAAAAUGGUUUAUCUAAUAUAAAUAAUGCGAUAAAUAUGGACACAGUUAAUUUAUUUAGUAGUGGUAAUACUAUCCAAACAUAUCAAGAUGUGAAUAACAAUGAUACUGCUCGUACUCGUCGGUAUGAGACUGCUGGUAACAGUAAAAUGGAUGGACACAUUAAUAAUACCACAUGUAUAAGCACAACUGGCAAUUCUAAUAAUAUAAGUAGCGAUAAUAAUAAUAUAGGUAGCGAUAAUAAUAAUAUAGGUAGAGAUAAUAAUAAUAAUAUAAGUAGCGAUAAUAAUAAUAUAAGUAGCGAUAAUAAUAAUAAUAUAAGUAGCGAUAAUAAUAAUAUAAGUAGCGAUAAUAAUAAUAAUAUAAGUAGCGAUAAUAAUAAUAUAAGUAGNNNNNNNNNNNNNNNNNNNNNNNNNNNNNNNNNNNNNNNNNNNNNNNNNNNNNNNNNNNNNNNNNNNNNNNNNNNNNNNNNNNNNNNNNNNNNNNNNNNNUAAUAAUAAUAUAAGUAGUGAUAAUAAUUUGAUUACAAAUAAUACUAUUAACAACAAUUGUAUUGUAAAUUUUGAAAAGGUUGAGUUUAAUAAACAAGAAAGUAACAUAGUUAAAUCUCCUCA